UUAUCAGCUUAAUAUCUGAUAGUUCCCGCAUUGCGGGACCAGUAUAUUAAACUGAUUUUUGUAAAGUAACGGGAUGUUCGGGGCUUGCUCCAGUCCUGUCGCGG
This 104-nucleotide small nuclear RNA is filed under the name Tineola bisselliella. Its description in RNAcentral is "partial U2". It matches the Rfam family "U2 spliceosomal RNA", at positions 46 to 149 of the family's 192-position model. Rfam says of the family: U2 is a small nuclear RNA (snRNA) component of the spliceosome (involved in pre-mRNA splicing). Lineage: Eukaryota; Metazoa; Arthropoda; Insecta; Lepidoptera; Tineidae. The record is from RNAcentral.